GUUUCCCUCAAAUUUUCCCCACCCACCCUUCUAAAUAGAUUAAAAGAAGAAAGAAAAGCCUCGACACAAACAAAACAGCUUAGCAAUAGAAACUGCCAAGCCUUCAUCUCCCAGCCUCAAAAUUCUCAUUCUUUAGGCGUACGAAUAUGCUCGAGAGUCUGUUGCCACAAGUCAGGAAGCAUGGAGAUAUUCUAAGAGAGCUUCAGAUUUGAAGCUUUUGGAGACAAAUUUAAAAGGAAAAGCUG
Non-coding RNA from Nicotiana tabacum (common tobacco), 245 nucleotides. Lineage: Eukaryota; Viridiplantae; Streptophyta; Magnoliopsida; Solanales; Solanaceae. The record is from RefSeq and is a predicted model, not a curated record.